GAUGAAGAACGUAGCGAAAUGCGAUAAGUAAUGUGAAUUGCAGAAUUCAGUGAAUCAUCGAAUCUUUGAACGCACAUUGCGCCCGCCAGUAUUCUGGCGGGCAUGCCUGUUCGAGCGUCAUUACAACCCUCAGGCCCCCGGGCCUGGCGUUGGGGAUCGGCGGAGCCCCCCGUGGGCACACGCCGUCCCCCAAAUGCAGUGGCGGUCCCGCCGCAGCUUCCAUCGCGUAGUAGCUAACACCUCGCGACUGGAGAGCGACGCGGCCACGCCGUAAAACACCCAACUCUUCUGAAGUUGACCUCGAAUCAGGUAGGAAUACCCGCUGAACUUAAGCAUAUCAAUAAGCGGAGGA
This 352-nucleotide unclassified non-coding RNA is filed under the name soil metagenome. RNAcentral describes it as "partial contains 5.8S ribosomal RNA, internal transcribed spacer 2, and large subunit ribosomal RNA". The stretch from base 1 to 120 matches the Rfam family "5.8S ribosomal RNA", at positions 35 to 154 of the family's 154-position model. The record is from RNAcentral.